RNAcentral lists this ribosomal RNA (498 nucleotides) under uncultured bacterium. RNAcentral's name for it is "partial 16S ribosomal RNA". It matches the Rfam family "Bacterial small subunit ribosomal RNA", at positions 28 to 508 of the family's 1533-position model. The record is from RNAcentral.
GAUGAACGCUGGCGGCGUGCCUAAUACAUGCAAGUCGAGCGAACGGACGAGAAGCUUGCUUCUCUGAUGUUAGCGGCGGACGGGUGAGUAACACGUGGAUAACCUACCUAUAAGACUGGGAUAACUUCGGGAAACCGGAGCUAAUACCGGAUAAUAUUUUGAACCGCAUGGUUCAAAAGUGAAAGACGGUCUUGCUGUCACUUAUAGAUGGAUCCGCGCUGCAUUAGCUAGUUGGUAAGGUAACGGCUUACCAAGGCAACGAUGCAUAGCCGACCAGAGAGGGUGAUCGGCCACACUGGAACUGAGACACGGUCCAGACUCCUACGGGAGGCAGCAGUAGGGAAUCUUCCGCAAUGGGCGAAAGCCUGACGGAGCAACGCCGCGUGAGUGAUGAAGGUCUUCGGAUCGUAAAACUCUGUUAUUAGGGAAGAACAUAUGUGUAAGUAACUGUGCACAUCUUGACGGUACCUAAUCAGAAAGCCACGGCUAACUACGUGC